UCACUACCAACAAUCGACGGGCACGUGAUGACAUCGGCUCUUUCUAGGAAGGGGCACAGUGGUUGGAAACAUGAGCUGAUUUUGAGCCAUGACUACCAUGUCCGCAAGGACACUGACCAAAGGGGCAACCGCCGAGAGCAGCCAGGCUGGCCCAGGCACUUGGGCCACCGCUCGGGGAAGCAGGUAGGAGAGCCUCGGAGAUGGCCCCUUCCCCUUUCAUGCCACAGGCGAGACUGCCGGUGGGGGCCAGAAGUUCGCCCCAUGGCUCAGUGCUUAGUUCGGCUCCCACCCAGCCCGCUGAGAUGGUGUUUGCCACUCUUCCCGCUGUCCCUCCAGUGUCGUUUGGCGAGACGCCUGGGCCCUGAGCCAGCCUCCAAUGUGACCGACAGCUUGGGGAAAGGCAGGCCCCACAGCUGAGGGCACGCAUCUCUAUUCUCACAUCGUUUUUGCUUCUGAGUCAAAGGCCUGGGGAUUCCCUCUUCUUCUCAGGGAAAUUUCCUCGGGUGAAGCCGGGGGGAGCUCAAUGGAGUUGAGAGUGCGUGGUGCAGUGACUGUGAUACAGAGUAAUGGGAGGCAGAGUCUGGCGAUCCCAUCCUGCACUCAUUCCGUGGCCACAGGUGGAAGAUCAUCGUACUUGUUGUUCAACACCAAGUAUGUUCAACACCAAACAUUUCUAAUCUUUGUUUCCCCAAGAGCACCCAACGUCAAGCCAGAACUUCAAGGGCGGAAGGGUUUUCAGGCUUUGGUGUCACUGCUCUCCAGGAUGGCUUGAAGGGUCUGGGCUGUUCCAAGGGGCAGGUUCCGGUGUGCUGAAAGGUGUUGUCUGCACUUGGUCUGCUUUUGCUCGGGAACUGGUUUGUCUGGACACAAGCUAUGAGCUUUGCCUGCAUGAAGAAAAUGGCUGCAGAGUGUAAAACAAGACUCUUUGAACUUGACCAAUACUUUGGGCGAGAGCUGGAUGAAGUAAACAAAUGCGUGAUGAACACAUGCUUCGGGCCAUCCCAGUGGGCCUGGGGACACCUUCCCUCUUCUUUGUCCCUGAGUCCUGGCAGAUACUCUCAGGCAUGUCCAGAACCUUAAGUUCUUUACUUCCAUUAACAAGCCAAAUAGUAGGGUGACCAUUUAAUCUAUGUUCAGCCGGACGCCGUUGAGAGCAUAGAGGAUGCUGUCCGUCACACUGGACAAAAAUGUACACGAGACUAUAUGGGGCACCCGACAGAAUGCCCACUUCGAGGAGGAACUCUAGACUGUCAGUGCAAACCGAGGUAAACCCUGUGAUUUCAGCCAGUUCAUUCAUAGAAGUCUGUCUGAUCUGUCCUUGCCAGCCUGCGACAAUGAGGUCCACCUGCCAGCUAUAGAAACUUGGCAGACCUACUGGCCUUUGCGGACUUGUCUUCUUUUCCGUCAAAGGAGCUGAGUCCUCACCCCAGGAUGGUUCUGAGGCUCAGCACUAAGGAGACACUAAGAGACUGUGCUCUAGUCUCUCUUCUUAUUUUCUGUUCUCUCCCCAUUUCAUUCAGCACCCAUGCCUCAUUCUACACCAACUUGUGAAUGGUGGCACCUAUGAUUAUUGUUACU
Molecule: long non-coding RNA, 1578 nt
Organism: Leopardus geoffroyi (Geoffroy's cat)
Lineage: Eukaryota; Metazoa; Chordata; Mammalia; Carnivora; Felidae
Exons: 4
Source: RefSeq, a predicted model, not a curated record